UCCAAAUAAAGGGAUUUCUUUGACACUGAACGUUUGAACUUAUCCUUCUUUAUUAUAGAUGAAUUAGCAGAGUAAUAUUUUUCCAUAACAAUUGGUGUCAGAAGUGGGAUAGCUGAAGAUCCGCCAUAUGACACUCGAAGGCGUCGGACAGGUUAGCCACCAAGAAUCCACAAUCUAGGGGUUCUCCUCUACCUCACUGAAAAUCUUAAGAGACGAGAGGGUCUGACGCCUGGAGUGAAACUGGUCGACUUCACGUCUGUUCCAACGAAUCAAUACUCUACUUCCUCGUCUGAAGGGUGAGACGUAUUUUUACCAAUUAUUCAAUAGAAGCAUUUGCUUAUUAAUGGAAUUGGGGGGAAAAAAAACAUAAAACAUUUAAUUAAAUUAAGUGUAGUAUGUAGGUCAUGUCUGUCUACUGGGGCUGACUGUCAGUAGGAGCCUGUGGUAAAGAAGUCUGGUAUUAAAGUCAGACUUGACGUGGUUAGGUUCACAGGGUUUUUAAUCCACUUGUACCUUAGAAACAACGUGUGAUAGGCACAGGGACGCCUGUGUUCAAUAUCGUUAAAUCAGGAAACGUGGCAGUGCGGCGUCACGGCGUUUCAUGUUUCGGCUGAUUUAAUGGAUAAAAGGGUAAAGUGUUUGAGAACGCAGUCAACCAGUUGACAUAACAACUAACACUUUUAACUACGCAAUUGAGCACUCACUAGGGCCUUGGUGGGAGGUUAACUGGUUACUUGUUCGGUGUCCUUUGCUUUGUGCCCAACCACGCGGCCGCGCCGGAUAGCAUCCGUGGGAUCUUCCUACGGAGGGUCGCCGGGACUAGUCAGACCAGGAUUUGGCUAUGGGCAAUGAGCAAAGCAAAGGCGUACAGGUUCCGACAGGCCUUUAGUGGAGGACAGGACUAAAAAAUAUGGUCUUGAAAGCGUUCAGUGUCUAACGGUCUGGACAAGCCCAUUUGGCUUUCUUAAGGGGGUUCUUUGAGUCAAAAUCCGCUGAAACAAUUAGACCAGGGAAAACAAAAAAGAGCUCGAUUUUCUACUUGUUUUUUCAAAUUUUCUUAUUAUUCUAUGGUUGAUAAUUUUGUGGGGGUAAAACUCAUGACACUGUGAAUCUUGUUGUCGGUCAAAGUCGAUGCCGACUGAUUAAUUUCUUUAUCGUAGGGAAUUAAUUAUUUUGUUGUAGUUUCGCAGCGACGUAAACGUAAGUUGGGGAUGCCCAACGCCAGGUAAAGCACAGUAUUUGACAAUUUUGUCAUUUUAAAGUUUUUGCGGCCCAGAUGUUCGUGUCUGGAAGAUUAAUGUUCCAAGGGGAACAUUAAUAAGUAUUUUUAGGAAUGUUGCGUUUUUGUGUUAUUUAACAAAAAUUCAGUUGCGGUAACCCAGACUGAGGUCUGUCCCUGUUAGAUGGGAAAUGCAAAUUUUAAGUCCCGCCACCGGAUUGUGACGGGCCAAGAUUCAAAUGCAUGAGUAAUAAUAAAUAUGGGCUAGAUGUUUUAAAAUGCCAGUCAGUGAUCAAAAAGGCUUGGCACGCUGUGGGACCUAAGUCCUAUUAGCUCUGUGAACGAGGACGCACAACAGACAUGUGAGGAGUUGAUUUUGUGAACAGUGGUUGAAUUGAGGGUGGUUGAAUUGUAGUUGAAACAUGAGAGGUGCAAUGUAAUCAUAAGAUCUCUGGCCAGGAUAAUUUUUUUUUUUUUUUUUUUUUUUAAUAAGGGUGGUAUGCCAUUGAAAACAAAAAUCAAUGUGUAAAAAAAAAAUGUCUGACAGUGAGCACAACAUUGGUUUGGUGAAAUACAUUUUGACUGGUUCACCACUGGCUACUGUAGAAAGGAUGGGUUUAUCAGAUAAUUUUCGUCAAAGUAAACCCCCUUUUCCCAAUAAAACUAAACUUGUAGUUUCUGAAUCUACCAAGAAGUUGUUUACCAAAAAAAAAACCCUAAAGAUAUCAUUGACAACUGUUUAAAACAUGUGAGUGUGUGUGCUUGGCGUAGGUGUGUGACAUCAGUAUAGACAGCUGAUGUGCAGAUGCAGAAUCUGGGUUAGUAAGCAUGUGUAUGACUUCUGCUCCAGGGGAGGGGAAGGAGAGGAGAGAGACAUAUGCAGGUGUAGGUGUGUCACAGCCUAGUUGGUUUGGAACCGUUGUUGCCUGUAUCCUCCAGGUCGUUGCUGCCGGCGACCAAACGCUGUUGUCUGUUGUAUCUGUCUCAUCCACAUCUCCUCAUCUUGGCCUCCGUAUUGCCCCUAAAAUCUGAUUAUCGCCCAAAGUAUUUUGUUGUGUUGUGUCAUGUCUGUGAUAAGUGUUUAUAAAUGUUUGUGUUGUAUGUUUGUGGCUUUAGUGUUCUUGUUGUGUGCGUAUGGUACCGGUACAAGGGUUUGUGUGGAUUUUGGGUGCUGGCUCAAACUUGAGGUGAUAUUCAGAGUUGCCAGAUUAAUGCUUGUGGUUUUGAUUUCACUGUGGAAAUAGUGUUUUAAGUGUACUUUAUAUUUGAUAGAGCACCUAUAUACUAAAGGAUACAGUAUAGGAAAGCAUGUGAAUCUGAAUUUGUUGUGACAAUGUAAAGAUGCCGAUGGGCCUAAAUGUUUAUAGGAGUGACCCAGGAUCUCCUGUUUACCAUUUUCUUCAUAUUUUCUUACUUAACAUUUGUGUUUUGUGACUGUGACACCUGCUUAGAUGUGACUAAUUGUGUUUUGCGUAUAACACUACAAUGACAUGAUGAACUUCCUCUACAGAUCCCGUGUCUUUCAGCAGAGCCAAGGGCCGCGAAGGACGCCUCUCACUCCUCCUCUCCAUUCCUCUCCUUCCUCCUCUCCCUUCUUCUCAGUCUCACUCUCAUACACACUCCACUCACACACCACUCACAGCCCCUCCUCUCUUGACUCUCUCUUGUUUCUCCAAAUGUUCUUUUUCCUCCUAACAGGUCAGCCUGAAAAGCUGUUGGUGAAAUUGACCCAUGGGUGUGACCAAGUGUCAAAAGGGGGGACCUAAAGCACUAAAACCACACUGGUGCUCUGUAGGGUAUGCGCAUGCGAACCUGUGACAGACAUAGUCAUUUGAGAUUCUGCUCCGAAUCUCCAAACCCUUUCCUACGUCUCAUUUCAAACAUGAUAUGCUCUCUUGUGCUGCUUUCUCUCCCAUCCUCAAAAAGAUUUGUCAACAGGUAGCUGUGGCCCUGUCCAUUCCAGCCUCAGGUCCACUUCACAGCCUUCAACCAGGUGACUUCAUGCUGGUCAAAGACUUCAGGAGGUCGAACAAGCCACGAGGGUUCACGUCAGUCGCUGCCAAAAGGUCAUCUCUGCAUCACCCGCCUAAAAGGUGCAUGGCCUACGUCAACAUCCAACGAGGUAGACCAGGACGAGAAGUGGAUGACAUCAGUGGUAAAACCAAAACCACCAACGAACAGAUGGUGAAUUAAAACGCUCUGUUCCACCUGUGAAGCUGAUGACAUUCCUACGUGGGAGCGACCCCGGAACGAGAUCAAGAACUCUGUCUGCCCGUUGUGACCCGUUUCGUCUUUCGACCACCGAUUCUGCCCGUUCCUGUUUUGCCUGCUCGUCUGUGACCUGGUUCGUUUACCCGACUCCGAUUCUGCCUACUCCCUUUGGUACCUCAGCCUCCAACGAUUACCUGUGUUUCAACCCUGUGCCUGGAUUACUGACUGUGAGUUUUUGCCUGUCCCUCAUGUACCGUUGCCUUUUGUUCUGCUCUCCCGUGUAUGACCUGGCCUGUUUUUUGACCUCCCUUUUGUUUAUUCCUAGUCGUGGUUCCGUUGCGUUUUUCCCGGCUCGGCCACGCUGGUUGCCAGCUGAUUCUACUCACGGCCCAGACGUCAAGCCCCGGACACAGCGUCAUCACAGAUUCACUAAUUAUUGUGUGUUGUGUCUCUUCCCUUGUUAAAGUGUUCAAUAAACACCCUCGAACUCACGUCAGUCUUUUGGUCUUGCAGUUGGGUUCAGCCUCUGUACUAGUCCCAUCACAUGUUCAUGAACUCAGACAGUUCAGAGACGUCACUCCUUCUACAUCCUCACCUGAAGAAAGGGCCUGGACUCAGCUGCUCAACCAACCAUCUCAAGCAGUGUCCCUUACAAUGGUCCAUGCUGACUGUCUCAUCAGUGUUGUGUCUCAGUGGUCUGGUUCUGGUUCUGGCUCGGUCCAUGACUCCUGAGUCUAUCGGACCUCUGGAAUCUGUCAGCGUGGAUCACAAGGCGAAUCGUCUGGUGUGUUUGUGGGGGACAGGGGGUCUACCUACCAGCCUUUUCUCCUGACACCAUACACAGACCCCCAGGAACCACAGCAGACCUACAGUCAUGCCCAUGCCAGGACAAGGAGCAGGAUCCAAACGACCUUUGACCUCCUGAAAGAACGCUUUCACUGUCUGCACCACUUAAGGGUCAGCCCUUUGAGGUCAUGUGACAUCACUGUGGCCUGUACUGUCCUCCACAAAGUGGCCUGAGGAAGGAGAGUUAAAGAGCCAGCCCCCCCCCCCCCCCAAAAAAAAAGUGCAUCACACUCGGACUGGGACAAUCCUGCCAUCUUCCCUGAUGACCGCAGUGGUCAGCUGGUCAGGGACCAAUAUGUGUUCAAUUAUUUGAGUUCACAUGCAUGAUUUCAGUUAAAUAUGUCCUGCAGGGGCAGAGGAAUUUGUGGGGUUUUUUUGUUCAGUUUAAAUUGAUUUGGUUGGUUUUGAUGUUUGUGUUAUUUACUGUAUGUAUGUUUUUUGUUGUUUCUAUUGUUACUAAACUAAAGGCAUUGGUAUUUAUUUUAUUUCAUUUUGUUUUUUGUCUGGUGAUAUGAAUGGGGGGGGGGGGGGGUCGGCAGAAUAAACUUAGGCUUCAACCUAUUCCUUUACAGACUCUUCAGUUUGUUAACAUUGUAUCUGCAUAAAUGUAUGAUGUUUGAAAUGUCUGAAUGAACACAAUUGAACUGAACUGAUGUAAUGAUUGCAAAAUCAUCUAAAAUCAUUUAUGUCAAAUUAUUGAAAUGAAUAAUCUCAAAUGUUUGUAUACUGACAGUGGGUCUAGUUCCUGUGAUUCCAUUGUGUAAUGGGCAGUGAAAUAACUAUUGGUUUCCAUUUGUGGUGACUGUUGACUGAGAUGAGGGAUGAGAUGAAAUAAAUCCUGGAGUUUAGCCUGGUCUGGAGCAGACUAGCUCCACAGAAUAAA
Molecule: long non-coding RNA, 5159 nt
Organism: Sphaeramia orbicularis (orbiculate cardinalfish)
Lineage: Eukaryota; Metazoa; Chordata; Actinopteri; Kurtiformes; Apogonidae
Exons: 4
Source: RefSeq, a predicted model, not a curated record